This 74-nucleotide transfer RNA is filed under the name Aeromonas encheleia. RNAcentral's name for it is "tRNA-Asn". The record is from RNAcentral. Lineage: Bacteria; Pseudomonadati; Pseudomonadota; Gammaproteobacteria; Aeromonadales; Aeromonadaceae. RNAcentral also lists the same sequence under 1 other name.
UCCUCCUUAUUCCAGUCGGUAGAACCGCGGUCUGUUUGAUCCAUGUGCCACUGGUUCAAGUCCAGUAGGAGGAG